RNAcentral lists this unclassified non-coding RNA (2105 nucleotides) under Hevea brasiliensis (rubber tree). The record is from RNAcentral. Lineage: Eukaryota; Viridiplantae; Streptophyta; Magnoliopsida; Malpighiales; Euphorbiaceae.
AAAAAAAAAAAAAAUAAAACUUUAAUUAGACUAAGGAUUCUGUCUAAUUCUGAUUACCAUGGCUUUGCUUUAAGAAAAUUUUCAAUCGCUAAUCAAUAAUCGGAUGAUCAGAAACCAAAUUAUUUUUAAAAGGCUCACCUUUGCCAAAAGAAGAUAAUAGAACGUAUGGGCUGUUGCCAAAUAAUGAUAGAAAGCUACAGCUCUCCCAAACCAUCUAUAUUCGAAGUAAAAAUACUCAACACAACUGCAGCAACAAAUGCAAAGCAAAAGAACCAGCUGUCCACUGGUCAAUGUAAAUUACUUAAUUGAUUUUUUUUUCAAAUUACAAUUUGCUCACCCUUGUGAUAAAACAUUCAAGCAACUGAAAAGCAAAACUGUUCCAUACGCAGGGGAACAGAAUCCACUGUUCAAGCAAAGAACUCCAAUCCUUUCUGCCUACCUGGAGAACACAGCAAAAAAAUGUUAGGCCAAUUAUAUUUCUUUGUCAGCAUACUAGUCAAGCAAUAAAAGUCCUGAAGUAACAAGCAAAGACUUAUGGCUGGAGCAUCUUGAGGGAACAAUUCAACUGACAGAAUAAAAGUUCUUCAAUCACAAAUGGUCUGGUGUUGUCCGUCGCCGAAUGCGCUCACUACGUCUCCAAGGGUCUGACCCACCAUCUGAAGAAUCAUUGUCCUCAUCUCUGGAAGACGACCCAGUUUCCACAUCAUGAGUCUCCCCCCAAAGCCUGGUAGAUCUCCUUCUGAAAUUCAGCUGCCCUCUCGCUCUUGAGGUACCAGACCAGCUGCUACUCCUCGGACUUGACCCAGGUCGAAACACUCUUAUAAGAAAAAAUACAGUGAGCCAACCACCAUCGUCAAUAGGUAAAAUGUUGUCAUCACCCCUCUCUUCUCCAAAUGAAGAAUGAAGCGUGCUGAUCAAGUCCCCAAGGUCCCUUUGGCGCUCCAGCAACCUCCAAUUUCGUUGCCGUUCUGGAUCAGCCUGUGAUGGUCGAACAAGAGGGUGUUCAAGUCUUGCAUGUUUCCUAAGAUCUGAAUAGGUGCCACUAAAAUCACAAGUUUCACAGGCACAGCUUCUUGAUUUUGCAUUCAUAAAACGACGAGCAGGCUCCAUGGUAAUCCACUCUUUUACCUGCCCCCGACAGAGGGGGCACACCAGUGUUGGUUGUGCUUUUUUAUCACAAGGAAUGGUUCCAGUAGAUAAGGGCUCUUCCUCACUUUGUUCCACAUUAACAGUUGGUUCUGAGCUCCCAACCGUGGCUGUUGUGACCCUAUUUUCUUCUGGUUGAGGAGUUGUCAGUGAGGCCUCAGUAAACGACUUGCGGAACUGAUCAAGACAAUUUGAGUGGCGAUAGCUUGUAUCACACAUGUAAGGACGGCAGCCUUUCUCAUGGGAAGAACAUAUGAGGAGUACUGCAUUGUGAGGAUGUUCCAUACAAACAGGACACCUGGCCUCUUCCCAUUCCUUUAGGUUUUCCUCAGUUUCUGAAGGGAUUUUGGGUGAAGAUAGCCUGCUACAACUGGAGCUGCAAGUGUACGGAGACGCCUUGCACCUAUCAAAAGAUACCGAGCGAUCUCUUCUAUCCUUUGGCAUUCUGAGACUGCACAAAUAUCAACACAACCCUAAAAUCCAACGCUUCUAACAGCGCCACCAAAAUGGUUGAAGCUAUAAGAAAUCACAUAAAGAUUAUACAUAAGACAAUCUGACUAAUGAAAUUAAGCUCAAGGGUUUGUAAAUCAAGAAUAGGAAUAGCACAACAAGAAACCAAAUGCAACAUUUAUGUGAAGGCUUUUAAACAUUCAACAAUCUACUGAAACCCCAGACCCAAGGAAAAAAGAGAAAGAAAAACAUGACCAGGCACACAAAUAGUGACUAGAGGAACACAUUAAAUAUACAUAAAAAUAUAUGUACAAAUCUCAUGAACAAACAUAUACUCAUACGAAAGUUGUGCUACUGAGAUAGGUUUCCUUCAAGGUGAGUAGCCGCUACAGCUACGACUAAGUUGACAGAUAUUUGCUUCACGCUUGCCUAAUAAAUAAACAUAAUGAUACGAAAAUACUCCACUCAUUUGCAGAACCAUAAAGAUAAAUUCAGCUUCUGUAGUAGUU